This 418-nucleotide ribosomal RNA is filed under the name uncultured bacterium. Its description in RNAcentral is "partial 16S ribosomal RNA". It matches the Rfam family "Bacterial small subunit ribosomal RNA", at positions 363 to 773 of the family's 1533-position model. The record is from RNAcentral.
CUUCCACAAUGGACGAAAGUCUGAUGGAGCACCCCCGCGUGACGGAUGAAGGAUUUCGGAUCGUAAAGCCCUGUUGUGACGUAAGAACAAUUACUGGUGUCACUGUCUGUACCUUGACGGUACCUCACCAGCAACCCACGGCUAACUACGUGCCUUCAGCCGCGGUAAUACGUAGGUGGCAAGCGUUGUCCGGAAUUUAUGGGCGUAAAGCGCGCGCAGGCGGUCCUUUAAGUCUGAUGUGAAAGCCCACGGCUCAACCGUGGAGGGUCAUUGGAAACUGGAGGACUUGAGUACAGAAGAGGAAAGCGGAAUUCCACGUGUAGCGGUGAAAUGCGUAGAGAUGUGGAGGAACACCAGUGGCGAAGGCGGCUUUCUGGUCUGUAACUGACGCUGAGGCGCGAAAGCGUGGGGAGCAAAC